RNAcentral lists this long non-coding RNA (740 nucleotides) under Ananas comosus (pineapple). RNAcentral describes it as "long non-coding RNA (ACOM_LNC007694)". The record is from RNAcentral. Lineage: Eukaryota; Viridiplantae; Streptophyta; Magnoliopsida; Poales; Bromeliaceae.
AAUAGGGUGGUAAGUAGAGGCUAAAAAUAAAAAAUAAUAAUAAUAAUUCGUACUAAAUUCAUCCUAAUCUACUAAAAAAAUAACGUACCAGGUUGGAAAUCCCUUCCUCUCUUGAUCCGUUCUAAUUCACCAAAAAAUUGCUCUGCUUUAAGUUUUCAGCUUCUGGAAUAAUAUAAUCUUCUUUUUUUUUUUUUGAGAGAGAUAAGUAGUAUGCUAUCUGUUUCGUUUAUUUUAUUUAGAAAUAAACUUCGUUGGAAAUGUGAAUCAACUAGAAUUCGAACUUGGGAUUUCGGAUACCAAUCACGAAGCCCUUUGCCACUUGCGCUAGGGACUGUUGGUUGGAAUAGUAUAAUCUAGUAUGGAUUCUUGGACAUGCUAGUAUUGAGGGCCUUCCAACAAUCUUAAAAAAAUAAAAUAAAACGAAGAAAGAUAUUUUAUAACUUACAUAACAUGUGUAAGCGAUAUCCAAAUAAGACCCACUAAUAAGAAGAAGCAUAAAUUAUACUUUUGGUCAUCAAAAUAUAAGGCAUGUGAACUUUAAUUUGUUAUAAUUUUUAGCUUGAAUUUUUUGAAUUGUUGUAAUCGAAUUAUACAAUCCAAAUUACUUGGCUAAAUAAUGAUAAAAUAUUAACGAAGAAGCAAUUUAGCAUCUUAAUUAUUGCAGCAUUAUCAAUUACAAUACUUCACGUUACUUCUGCGUCAAUAAUUUAUCUAUAUUUUGUUGAUCAAAUAAUCUCAGU